Molecule: small nuclear RNA, 167 nt
Filed under: Poecilia reticulata (guppy)
Lineage: Eukaryota; Metazoa; Chordata; Actinopteri; Cyprinodontiformes; Poeciliidae
Description: U1 spliceosomal RNA (ENSPREG00000017126.1)
Rfam family: U1 spliceosomal RNA
About the family: U1 is a small nuclear RNA (snRNA) component of the spliceosome (involved in pre-mRNA splicing).
Source: RNAcentral
AUUCAUAAAUGACAUUGAAAUAAAAUCCAGUCCAACAUCUGGUUUGAGGUGAUUCUCUGGCUCAGCCAUUGCACUUCGGCUGUGCUGACCCCUGCGAAUUCCCCAAAUGUGGGAAUCUCGACUGCAUAAUUUAUGGUAGUGGGGGACUGCGUUCGCGCUCUCCCCUG